This is a long non-coding RNA of Chroicocephalus ridibundus (black-headed gull), 493 nucleotides long. RefSeq lists it as uncharacterized. NCBI's taxonomy places the organism in Eukaryota, Metazoa, Chordata, Aves, Charadriiformes, Laridae. The transcript is spliced from 3 exons. The record is from RefSeq and is a predicted model, not a curated record.
CCACCUGUUAUGAAACGCACUGAGACUAUCAGUGCCCACCAGUGCGUGUGGGCUGUGUCCCUACGCGUGCCACGAACCUUGGAAGUGCCCUGAAGCUUUCACAGCGACCUUAGUUGAGCAGAGGUGCGAUCACCGCAUGCCGAGAUGUUGCACCUUCCUGGUUACUGAGCUGAGAACCGUCCAGAAGAAUGUGAGACCAGAAAUUGGCCACUCCGUAAACUCACCCAACAGAUUGCGGUACCGCAGAUGAGACGUGGUCAAGGACAGGCAUGUGAAGUCCUGAGGGCUGUGUGAGCGGAGGGCGACCCGUCUCGCAACGGAGGAGAUUCUUCCGAGUCCCAGGUAGGUGGCCGGGUCUGACGCCCGCUGUUAGUGCUCACACCCUCCCCAGCUACAGACGCCACAAACAUCAAACCAGGAAUGUGCCAACAGACCUGGAGCACUGGGGCCAGUUGUUUUCACCAUCCUAAAGUAAAGUACCCUGCUGCAAUAA